This 244-nucleotide ribosomal RNA is filed under the name uncultured bacterium. Its description in RNAcentral is "partial 16S ribosomal RNA". It matches the Rfam family "Bacterial small subunit ribosomal RNA", at positions 57 to 305 of the family's 1533-position model. The record is from RNAcentral.
GCAAGUCGAACGGUAACAGAACUAGCUUGCUAGUUGCUGACGAGUGGCGGACGGGUGAGUAAUGCUUGGGAAUUUGCCUUUAGGUGGGGGACAAAAGUUGGAAACGACUGCUAAUACCGCAUGAUAACUACGGAGCAAAGGGGGCUUCGGCUCCCGCCUUUAGAGAAGCCCAAGUGGGAUUAGGUAGUUGGUGAGGUAAAGGCUCACCAAGGCGACGAUCCCUAGCUGGUCUGAGAGGAUGAUC